Molecule: ribosomal RNA, 1326 nt
Filed under: Zemeros flegyas
Lineage: Eukaryota; Metazoa; Arthropoda; Insecta; Lepidoptera; Riodinidae
Description: large subunit ribosomal RNA
Source: RNAcentral
AAAUAUAAAAUUAAUAAAAAUAAAAUAAUACAAAUAAUUUUAAUAUAAAAUAUGAAAAUGGGGGUUUAAGUAUUUUAUAGAAAAAAUAAAAAAUUUUAUAGAUAAAUAGUAUUGUAAAAGAAAUUUGAAAUAUAUAUUAAAAUUAAUUUAAUUAAAAGUAAAUUUAAAUUAUUGUAUCUUGUGUAUCAGAGUUUAUUAAAAAAUUUAUAAAUUUUUAUUAAUUUCGAAUUUAAAAGAGAUAAUUAAUUAAAAAAGUUAAUGUAGUAUAAUUAUUUUAAAUAAUUAAUUUGAAAUGAAAUGUUAAUCGUUUUUAAAAAUAUCUAAUUUUUUUAGAAAAAAAUUUAAUUUUGAAAUUUUUAUUUAUUUAUAUGAAUUAAAUAAAUAUAAAUAAUAAAAAUUUAAAUAUUUUAAGGGAUAAGCUUUAAAUUAAAUUUUUAUAAUUGAAAAAAAAAUUAUUUAAAAUUUUUAAAAUUUAUAUUGUUUAAAAAUUAAAAUUUAUUAUAAAAAAUUUUAAAAUAAAUAAAAUUUUAUUAAAUUUAAUUUUUUAUAAAAAAAAUAUUAAUAAAUAAAAAAUUAAUAGAAAUAAUGAUAAAAUUAGUAUAAUAAUAAUAAUUAAAAUAAUAAAUUUAUAAUAAAGUAAUAUAAAAGAAUUCGGCAAAUAUUUAUAUUCACUUGUUUAUCAAAAACAUGUCUUUUUGAUAAUAAUUUAAAGUCUAAUCUGCCCACUGAUAAUAUUAAAGGGCUGCAGUAUUUUGACUGUACAAAGGUAGCAUAAUCAAUAGUCUUUUAAUUGAAGACUUGUAUGAAAGAUUGAAUGAAAUAUAAACUGUUUCUAUAUUAAAUUUAAAACUUAAUUUUUUAGUUAAAAAGCUAAAAUAAUUUUAAAAGACGAGAAGACCCUAUAGAGUUUUAUAAUUUAAUUGAUUUUUAUAUAAUAUAAAAAUUUAAUUAAAAAUUAUUUAAAUUAUUUUAUUGGGGUGAUAGAAAAAUUAAAUAAACUUUUUAUAAUAUUUUACAUAAAUAAAUGAAUAAAUGAUCCAUAAAUUAUGAUUAAAAGAUUAAAUUACCUUAGGGAUAACAGCGUAAUAUUUUUUUUUAGUUCAAAUAAAAAAGAAAGUUUGCGACCUCGAUGUUGGAUUAAGAUAAAAAUUAAAUGCAAAAGUUUAAAUUUUUGAUCUGUUCGAUCAUUAAAAUCUUACAUGAUCUGAGUUCAAACCGGUGUAAGCCAGGUUGGUUUCUAUCUUUAGAAAAAUAAAAUAUUUUAGUACGAAAGGAUUAAAUAUUUAAAAUAAUUUUAAUAAAAGGAAUAUUAAUAAUAAAAUUAUA